This 3728-nucleotide long non-coding RNA is filed under the name Sus scrofa (pig). Its description in RNAcentral is "lncRNA (ENSSSCG00035042100.1, ENSSSCG00065038002.1)". The record is from RNAcentral. Lineage: Eukaryota; Metazoa; Chordata; Mammalia; Artiodactyla; Suidae.
UGUCUGGUUAACUCAAUUCUCCUCCACAUCUUUAGUUAGCAUUUUCAAACGAUUUCUAAGUUUAUGUUUUGCACCUGCAUGUAAAUCACACUGUUAUUCACCUGAACAACUUCUUUUGGAUAGCUUCCCAGAUUGGAGCCAUUUAUAUACAAAAUUGCCUUUUUGGCAGGAGAAGUUCUAAGUGAAGUAAAUAGUCUUGAUUGGUUGGUACAUAAAACCCACAAAUGUACAGUUAGGAAAGGAAGAGUUGGUACUGUAACUGUCCAAAAAUCAGUGCUUGGCAUUUGCAGAAUGAAGUAUUUUUAUUGGAUUUCUCUAUCCUAAGAGGGAGACAAGAUUGUAGUUUUCAUUUGGUCAAUGAAAUGAAUCCAACCCUUGUAAUUUUCCAUUCACUAUGAGAUUUUUGUUGCCAGAAUGCCCUGAGAGUGGUACUCCAAAUUGAUUUGUAUUCCUGCAGCUGAGCCUCACCAAGCUUUAGGUACAAAACAAGUCCUUACUGCCUCUACUUUCAAUUUCUGUAUUUGAAUAUGAUGAAGCUUCUGUUUAUCCAGGAUAAGUGAAAAAGAUUGUACAAAUGGUUAGGCUACCAGAGAAGAGUAUUCACGUGUGACACAUUGUAGUUAAGAAUAAAGACUUCAAAUUGCAUGCACUCAAAUUCUUGCUCAAAAGGCAGUCAUGUGUUCAAGAGCAGUUUAUGUGAUCUCAGUAGAAUUCAGGGUCUUCAUCCUUUAUAACAAGCAAAAAUACAGAAUAUCCUAAUAGAGUAUGUAUGUGGGGUCAAAUGAGGCAAAAAUAGAAAAGGUUAAUAAAUUAUAAAAACAUUUGUUUCUAUUGGUGAUCAUAGCAGUAUUUGCAUGUUAAGAUUAAUGUUUUUUAUAUUCACAUAAAUCUUUUGAAGUUAAUAUUAUAGGUUUUAUUUUACGUUAUAAAGAAACUAGAAUUCAGGAAGUUCCCUCUGGGCACAGUGAGUUAAGAAUCUGUCAUUGUCACAGCUGUGGUGCAGAUCGCAACAGUGAUGCAUGUUUGAUUCCACAUGCUGUAUGUGUGGCCAAAAAAGCUAGAAUUCAGGAACAUUUAGUGACCCCUUACGUGUCAAGUAGAGGGAAACAGAACCAAAAUACUAAGGACUUUUUUUUUCUCCUGUAAGUGAUUUAGUAUAAGGAUAAACAUUUGACAUUUCAAUCCUUUAUUUUUUUUUUUAAAGUCAUUCCUAUAGGAUCUUACCAUACCUUGGUUUUAUCACUGUGUUAUCAUUCUUUAGUCUUAUGGUAGGACUGAACUUUUUAAUUUUUGCCAGUUAUCUGGCCAUCCUUUAGCUUAGUCAAAUUAACCGUAUUUAAUUUGUAUUUUGUACCAUAUGUUGUACAAGUUUCAUGUCAUAUAUUAGAAUAUGCUUAACUUUAAAUAUAUGAUGUUAUGUAUUUUCCAUAGAGUUAAAGUGAAAAAUUUAUUUCAGUAACCAAGAAAUUUAUUGUAGUUAUUUGAACUUAUUGGAGAAAUGAAUAAAGGUGUUAAAUACUGGAAAAAUUUAAGCUUACUGGAAUAUUAGUAGUGUGUGAUAGUGUAGAGAAAAGUUUCUUUCAUACUAUAAAACAUAAUAAGAAUAAAUAGUAAUAAUAAAAAUAAUAAAAUUGGCUUUUCCCUACAAACAUAUUCAUUACUUUGUAUCACUAGAAGCAAGUUAAUAAGCAAUCUGUUAGCAGUGGAAAAGGUAUUUGAAUCUAUUUGAAAAGAAAAUUUCUAUAUGCUAUUUGUCCCACUGAAAAUUAUGCUCACUAAAAAUGACCCCGUUUUCAGUAUUUUCCUGAUUUAAAUUUGCUUAAUAGCCAAACUUAAUCUUCUUAUUCACUUAUUCAACACAUACUCAAGUAUAUGCUUUAGGUCUGACACAAUAACCCUUGCCAAAAUGAGCUUACAGUUAACUUGAGGACCUACCGAUUGUGAUAGUUAAUUUUAUCUGUUAAUUUGACAAAGCUAAGGGAUGGCCAGAUAACUGGCAAAAAUUAUUUCUGAGUGUGUCAUUGUGAAUGUUUCUGGAAGAAAUUAGCAUUUGAAUUAGUUGACUAAGUAAAUGCAAGUGGGCAUUUCCAGUCCUUUGAGAGCCUGAAUGGAAUGUAGGAGGGCAAAUUUUCUGCUUAAAUUUAGUAUUUAAAGAAAAAAUUAAUUGAUACAUCCAAGAAACUCAAAAGACUGUAAGUAGUCACAUUAUACAUUGUUGUGAGAUAGACAUUCUUGAAAACAUCAAGAGAAAAAUGACUUUCAGGAUCAAAAGUUACACAAUAAGAUUAAUAGUAGACAUAGAAAAAUAAUGAACUAUUACCACUUUUAUAUGUUUUGUGAUCUAGUCUAGUGCUAUACUUAGGUAAAUUUUUGCAUUAAUCAACAUUUUUAUUUCUUCUACAAUUAUAAUAUUAUUUAAGUGAGAAAAAUAUCCAAUAUAUCAUCUUAGAUAAUAAAAAUUCAUAGGGAGAUAAAGGGUCAUAUUAUGCCCAAGUAGACUGCAGAGUCCAUCGCCCAAAAUAGAAUUAGAUUUUCUCAGUGGCUAAAAGUACACAAUGUCACUUUCUACAAGUUUAAUAGUUAUUCAGUAUAAUCUAUGUUUCCACAUUUUACUUAAUUGCAUUAUCUCUGUAUACAGUGGUCCAAUAAAUGAUUAAAUAGAGCAAAUAAUGAAGCCAUAAAUAUUUGAAAUUAUGACUCAUAAGAAAGCCAUUUGUAAGGAUAAGCACAUAAUAAGUACAUAAAUUACAUAAAGAUUUUGGCAUUUGGCACUUUAAUGUUAAAACUGAGAUCAAAAAUUAAGUUGUAAUUCCUUUUUUUUCCGGGGGGGGGGACUGCCUACGGCAUAAGGAAGUUCCCAGACUAGGAGGCUAGGGGUUGAAUCAGAGCUGCAUCUGCUGGCCUGCCCCAUAGCCUCAGAAUAUCAGAUCCAAGUUGCAUAUGCGACUUACACCACAGCUCACAGCAAUGCCAGAUCCUUAACCUACUGAGAAAGGCCAGGGAUCGAACCCACAUCCUCGUGUAUACUAAUCAAGUUUUUAAUCUGCUGAGCCACAAUGGGAACUCCCCUAAUUCUAAUUCUAAAUACAACAUUGCAUGUUUAGCACUGAUAUACAUAUUAUAAAUGAUCUAGUUAAAUCUAUAACUUUUAUAGAAAAAUUUGAAAUCUUUAAGGGAAAUUUUUUUCUUCCCAAGAAUACAUACAAGCAAACCUGAGCCUAAAUUUCAAGCAGUGUAUUGCUCUAAUGCCAGUCCAGUAAACUUUUUCUAGUGGCAAAAAUUAUUUAAAAACAUUUUAUUUUGUAGCAUAUGAAAUCUCUGACCCAGGAUUAAGUUACAUUUUUUUCUGAUUUUUUUUCUGAGUCUUUCAUGAAGUUUUGGCAACGGCCUUCUGGAAAAGAAAAACUUAAAAAAUUUAUUUUUAUGAUUCUUUUUCUGAGAAAAUGAAAUUGUAUCAUUUUUGUCUUUUCUAACUUAUUACAAAAAUUAGAAGUACAUACUAAUUUUAAAAGUACAAUUAUCUGGGGAGUUCUGUUGUAGCUCAGUGGUAAUGAACCUGACUAGGACAUAUAUGAGGAUGGAGGUUCAAUCCCUGGCCUCACUCAUGCAUUAAAGGAUCCGGCUUUUCUGUGAGUCACAGACUCGGCUCAUGAGCCAUGGCUUAAGCCAUCAGCUGCACCUCCAGUUGGACCCCUAGCCUGGGAACUUCCAUAUGCCUCGGGUGUGGC